This 195-nucleotide ribosomal RNA is filed under the name uncultured bacterium. Its description in RNAcentral is "partial 16S ribosomal RNA". It matches the Rfam family "Bacterial small subunit ribosomal RNA", at positions 1307 to 1500 of the family's 1533-position model. The record is from RNAcentral.
GCAACUCGACUACAUGAAGCUGGAAUCGCUAGUAAUCGCGAAUCAGAAUGUCGCGGUGAAUACGUUCCCGGGUCUUGUACACGCCGCCCGUCACACCAUGGGAGUCAGUAACGCCCGAAGUCAGUGACCCAACCUUUUAGGAGGGAGCUGCCGAAGGUGGGACCGAUAACUGGGGUGAAGUCGUAACAAGGUACC